UACGUAGGGGGCGAGCGUUGUCCGGAUUUAUUGGGCGUAAAGAGCUCGUAGGCGGUGUGUCGCGUCGGCCGUGAAAACCUGCAGCUUAACUGUGGGCUUGCGGUCGAUACGGGCAUCACUGGAGUUCGGCAGGGGAGACUGGAAUUCUCGGUGUAGCGGUGAAAUGCGUAGAUAUCGAGAGGAACACCUGCGGCGAAGGCGGGUUGCUGGGCUGAUACUGACGCUGAGGCGCGAAAGCCAGGGAGCGAACGGG
This 253-nucleotide ribosomal RNA is filed under the name uncultured bacterium. RNAcentral's name for it is "partial 16S ribosomal RNA". It matches the Rfam family "Bacterial small subunit ribosomal RNA", at positions 524 to 776 of the family's 1533-position model. The record is from RNAcentral.